This 935-nucleotide long non-coding RNA is filed under the name Mytilus galloprovincialis (Mediterranean mussel). The record is from RNAcentral. Lineage: Eukaryota; Metazoa; Mollusca; Bivalvia; Mytilida; Mytilidae.
GAAUUUUAUCUGCUAUCAUUUUCAAGUUUACUAUCCACGGCGGUCACAGAGUUUAUUAAAUAGAGAGGGUCUGUAUACUAUGUCAAUGAUCACCAUGGAUCGAUUAGUAAACUUAGAAUUGAAAGUAAAUACGCUUUAUUUAUAUAGUAAUGAAUGUUCAUAAUAUACAGAUAAGCGCUAAAAUUAUUCAUGUGAACUUUUGAUACUUUUUUCUGAAAUUCUCCAGUCAUUAAAUCUUUUACAAAAUUCAUUGAUUACAUAAAAAAAAAAGAAGAUGUGGUAUGAUUGCCAUGUUAAGACAACUCUCCACAAGAGACCAAAAUGACACAGAUAUUAACAACUAUAGGUCACCUUACGGCCUUCAACAAAGAGAAAAGCCCAUACCGCAUACUCAGCUUCAAAAGGCCCGAAAUGACAUUGUGAAACAAUGCAAACGAGAAAACUAGCGGCCUUAUUUAUGUACAAAAAAUGAACGAAAAACAAAUAUGUAACACAUAAACAAACGACAACCACUGAAUUACAGGCUCCUUACUUAAAUAAAUGUUCAUAACAUACUAAAUGUAUGUUCAUAUUGAAAUUGAUAGAAAACCAAAAAUUGGGAACUUUGGAAAUAAAGGUGGAGGGUAACAAAAACAUUUUCCUGUCCCCAAUAACCUAUGACUUAUGAUACUUUUGCUGAAAUUCUCCAGUCAUUCUGCAUUUUACAAAAUUCUUCCAACAACACUUUACAUACUUUAAACUACGCUCUGAAUGCCCGCGAUUUCGCGGGUGUGUUCUAGUAUUACUAUAUUUCAAAGUAUAUAUCAUAGAUGUUAUACACUAUAGAUGACUUGGGGAAAUAAAUCACAAUCCAUGGAUGAAGUAAUUGAACAGUCGGUAUUUCUCUAAAUUGAACCUGUAUAUGGAGUCUAUAAAAUAUAUAAGUUUCUCACAGA